AACGAACGCUGGCGGCAGGCCUAACACAUGCAAGUCGAGCGAGACCUUCGGGUCUAGCGGCGGACGGGUGAGUAACGCGUGGGUAUAUGCCCUUUGGUACGGAAUAGCCUCGGGAAACUGAGAGUAAUACCGUAUGUGCCCUUCGGGGGAAAGAUUUAUCGCCAAAGGAUUAGCCCGCGUUGGAUUAGGUAGUUGGUGGGGUAAUGGCCUACCAAGCCUACGAUCCAUAGCUGGUUUGAGAGGAUGAUCAGCCACACUGGGACUGAGACACGGCCCAGACUCCUACGGGAGGCAGCAGUGGGGAAUCUUAGACAAUGGGGGCAACCCUGAUCUAGCCAUGCCGCGUGAGUGAUGAAGGCCUUAGGGUUGUAAAGCUCUUUCAGCUGCGAAGAUAAUGACGGUACCAGCAGAAGAAGCCCCGGCUAACUCCGUGCCAGCAGCCGCGGUAA
RNAcentral lists this ribosomal RNA (449 nucleotides) under uncultured bacterium. Its description in RNAcentral is "partial 16S ribosomal RNA". It matches the Rfam family "Bacterial small subunit ribosomal RNA", at positions 29 to 523 of the family's 1533-position model. The record is from RNAcentral.